This 253-nucleotide ribosomal RNA is filed under the name uncultured bacterium. RNAcentral's name for it is "partial 16S ribosomal RNA". It matches the Rfam family "Bacterial small subunit ribosomal RNA", at positions 524 to 776 of the family's 1533-position model. The record is from RNAcentral.
UACGAAGGGGGCUAGCGUUGUUCGGAAUUACUGGGCGUAAAGCGUGCGCAGGCGGUGAUGUAAGACAGUUGUGAAAUCCCCGGGCUCAACCUGGGAACUGCAUCUGUGACUGCAUUGCUGGAGUGCGGCAGAGGGGGAUGGAAUUCCGCGUGUAGCAGUGAAAUGCGUAGAUAUGCGGAGGAACACCGAUGGCGAAGGCAAUCCCCUGGGCCUGCACUGACGCUCAUGCACGAAAGCGUGGGGAGCAAACAGG